RNAcentral lists this ribosomal RNA (497 nucleotides) under uncultured bacterium. RNAcentral describes it as "partial 16S ribosomal RNA". It matches the Rfam family "Bacterial small subunit ribosomal RNA", at positions 28 to 507 of the family's 1533-position model. The record is from RNAcentral.
GAUGAACGCUGGCGGCGUGCCUAAUACAUGCAAGUCGAGCGAACGGGCGAGAAGCUUGCUUUUCUGCUUUUAGCGGCGGACGGGGGAGUAACACGUGGAUAACCUACCUAUCAGCCUGUGAUCACUUGGGGAAACCAGAUCUAAUACCGUAUAAUAUUUUGAACCACAUGGUCCAAAAGUACAAGACGGUCUUGCUCUCACUUAUAGAGGGAUCCGCGCUGCAUUAGCUAGUUGGUAAGGUAACGGCUUACCAAGGCAACGAUGCAUAGCCUAUCUGAGAGAGUGAUCGGCCACACUGGAAGUGCGACACGGGCCAGACUCCGGCGGGAGGCAGCCGAGGGGAGUCGGGUGCGGCGGGCGAAGGCCUGACCGAGCGGCGCGGCGUGAGGGAGGGGGGACGGCUGAUCGUAAAAACCUGCUAGUAGAGGAGAACGGACGUGUAAGGAGCCGUGCACUGCUUGGCGGAAGCCAGGCAGAGCACACCGGAUAGCUCAGUG